AUUGAACGCUGGCGGCAGGCCUAACACAUGCAAGUCGAGCGGUAGAGGAGAAGCUUGCUUCUCUUGAGAGCGGCGGACGGGUGAGUAAUGCCUAGGAAUCUGCCUGGUAGUGGGGAUAACGUUCGGAAACGACGCUAAUACCGCAUACGUCCUACGGGAGAAAGCGAGGGGACCUUCGGGCCUUGCGCUAUCAGAUGAGCCUAGGUCGGAUUAGCUAGUUGGUGAGGUAAUGGCUCACCAAGGCGACGAUCCGUAACUGGUCUGAGAGGAUGAUCAGUCACACUGGAACUGAGACACGGUCAGACUCUACGGGAGGCAGCA
Molecule: ribosomal RNA, 321 nt
Filed under: uncultured bacterium
Lineage: Bacteria
Description: bacterial SSU rRNA
Rfam family: Bacterial small subunit ribosomal RNA
Source: RNAcentral